GGUAGCAUGGCCGAGCUGUCUAAGGUGCUGGAUUUAGGCUCCAGGCUCUCUGGAGGCAUGGGUUCAAAUCCCACUGCUGCCA
Molecule: non-coding RNA, 82 nt
Organism: Pseudophryne corroboree (corroboree frog)
Lineage: Eukaryota; Metazoa; Chordata; Amphibia; Anura; Myobatrachidae
Source: the annotation of a RefSeq genome assembly